Molecule: ribosomal RNA, 260 nt
Filed under: uncultured bacterium
Lineage: Bacteria
Description: partial 16S ribosomal RNA
Rfam family: Bacterial small subunit ribosomal RNA
Source: RNAcentral
CGAGUGGCGGACGGGUGAGGAAUACAUCGGAAUCUACUUUUUCGUGGGGGAUAACGUAGGGAAACUUACGCUAAUACCGCAUACGACCUACGGGUGAAAGCAGGGGAUCUUCGGACCUUGCGCGAUUGAAUGAGCCGAUGUCGGAUUAGCUAGUUGGCGGGGUAAAGGCCCACCAAGGCGACGAUCCGUAGCUGGUCUGAGAGGAUGAUCAGCCACACUGGAACUGAGACACGGUCCAGACUCCUACGGGAGGCAGCAUG